Long non-coding RNA from Lactuca sativa (garden lettuce), 582 nucleotides. RefSeq lists it as uncharacterized. Lineage: Eukaryota; Viridiplantae; Streptophyta; Magnoliopsida; Asterales; Asteraceae. The record is from RefSeq and is a predicted model, not a curated record.
CUUCUCAUUUCAAUCUCUGUUUAUAAAACCCACCAUUUAUGUAUUCAAGUAGCUAGGUAGCUUCUGUUUAAUUUUGCAAACUCCUAUUGGGAUGUUGCACUCACUGCAACCCUAUUUUUUUCCAUUUCAAAACUCGGGUACAAGAGAAGACGAUGGCAUAUAUGGCGACUAUAUCUUGCCUCGAUCAUUGGAACGGGUGGACUCGGAAUAAUAGUUGUGGUUUGGGAUGCUAAUCUGCUUGGUUUAGCCGCGGCUAGUGGUUACAUACGGUUCAACCGGUAGCUGAUUCAGACUCUUUUUAGGGUGGUUGAACACACGAAUUAAAGGUUGGAUCUUGAUUGAUGGUAUUGAUAUUUUGAAGAUUGGGCUGCAUGAUUUGAGGUCUAAAUUGGAGAUAAUUCCACAAGAUCCAACUUUGUUUCAAGGAACUAUGAGGACUAAUCUUGAUCCAUUAGAAGAACAUUCGGAUUGUGAGAUUUGGUAGGUGUUAAACAAGAGCCAGCUUGCAGAUAUUGUAAGACAGGAUAAAUUUACUCGAUUGUAAAAUUGUCAGCAAAAUAUAAAGUAAAUUUUGGACUAUGA